RNAcentral lists this unclassified non-coding RNA (795 nucleotides) under Hevea brasiliensis (rubber tree). The record is from RNAcentral. Lineage: Eukaryota; Viridiplantae; Streptophyta; Magnoliopsida; Malpighiales; Euphorbiaceae.
GAGGCACGCUUUUAUGCAGCUGAAGUUGUAGACGCUCUUGAAUAUAUACAUAGUAUGGGAUUGAUUCAUCGAGACAUUAAGCCAGAGAACCUGCUUCUUACUUCAGAUGGACAUAUUAAAAUUGCAGACUUUGGCAGUGUAAAGCCAAUGCAGGAUAGCAGAAUAACAGUCCUUCCAAAUGCUGCAUCAGAUGACAAAGCCUGUACUUUUGUGGGAACAGCCGCUUAUGUACCUCCUGAAGUUUUAAAUUCUUCUCCUGCGACUUUUGGAAAUGAUCUUUGGGCACUUGGCUGCACAUUGUAUCAAAUGCUUUCAGGAACUUCUCCGUUUAAAGAUGCCAGUGAAUGGCUCAUCUUCCAGAGAAUCAUUGCCAGAGAUAUUAGAUUCCCAAAUUAUUUUUCAAAUGAAGCCAGAGAUAUUAUUGAUCAGCUGCUGGAUGUUGAUCCUAGCAGAAGACCUGGUGCUGGACCUGAUGGUUAUGCUUCCUUGAAAAAUCAUCCUUUCUUUAGUGGGAUCGAUUGGGAGAAUUUGAGGUUGCAGACCCCUCCAAGGCUUGCCAUGGAGCCAAAAGCCCCGUCAACUCAUAGCAGUGGUGAUGAGCAAGAUCCUUCAUGGAAUCCAUCACACAUUGGAGAUGGUUCAGUUAGACCUAACGAUGGAAACGGUGCUGCUGCAUCAGUUUCUGAAGCUGGUAACAGUAUCACCAGGCUCGCAUCUAUCGACUCCUUUGACUCAAAAUGGAAGCAAUUUUUAGAUCCUGGUGAAUCCGUGCUCAUGAUCUCGAUGGUGAAAAAG